This 468-nucleotide ribosomal RNA is filed under the name uncultured bacterium. Its description in RNAcentral is "partial 16S ribosomal RNA". It matches the Rfam family "Bacterial small subunit ribosomal RNA", at positions 28 to 507 of the family's 1533-position model. The record is from RNAcentral.
GACGAACGCUGGCGGCGUGCUUAACACAUGCAAGUCGAACGGAAAGGCCCCGUUCGUGUGGGGUGCUCGAGGCGCGAACGGGUGAGAAACACGUGAGUCACCUGCCCUUGACUUUGGGAUAACUUCAGGAAACUGGUGCUAAUACCGGAUAGGUGCUCCUGCUGCUUGGUGGGGGUUGGAAAGUUUCGGCGGUUGGGGAUGGACUCGCGGCUUAUCAGCUUGUUGGUGGGGUAGUGGCAUACCCAGGCAUUGGCGGGUAGCCGGCCUGAGAGGGUGACCGGCCACAUUAGGACUGAGAUACGGCCCAGACUCGUACGGGAGGCAGCAGUGGAGAAUAUUACACAGUGGGCGGAAGCCUGAGGCAGCGACGCCGCGUGCGGGAAGACGGCCUUCGCGUUGUGAACUGCUGUCGCCUGUGACGAAGCGUGAAUGACGGUAACGGGUAAAGAAGCACCGGCUAACUACGUG